Molecule: ribosomal RNA, 468 nt
Filed under: uncultured bacterium
Lineage: Bacteria
Description: partial 16S ribosomal RNA
Rfam family: Bacterial small subunit ribosomal RNA
Source: RNAcentral
GACGAACGCUGGCGGCGUGCUUAACACAUGCAAGUCGAACGGAAAGGCCCUGCUUUUGUGGGCUUCUCGAGUGGCGAACGGGUGAGUAACACGUGAGUAACCUGCCCUUGACUUUGGGAUAACUUCAGGAAACUGGGGCUAAUACCGGAUAGGAGCUCCUGCUGCAUGGUGGGGGUUGGAAAGUUUCGGCGGUUGGGGAUGGACUCGCGGCUUAUCAGCUUGUUGGUGGGGUAGUUGCUUACCAAGGCUUUGACGGGUAGCCGGCCUGAGAGGGUUACCGGCCACAUUGGGACUGAGAUACGGCCCAGACUCCUACGGGAGGCAGCAGUGGGGAAUAUUGCACAAUGGGCGGAAGCCUGAUGCAGCAACGCCGCGUGCGGGAUGACGGCCUUCGGGUUGUAAACCGCUUUCGCCUGUGACGAAGCGUGAGUGACGGAAAUGGGUAAAGAAGCACCGGCUAACUACGUG